RNA transcript from Oreochromis niloticus (Nile tilapia), 6393 nucleotides. RefSeq lists it as uncharacterized. The transcript has 3 exons. NCBI's taxonomy places the organism in Eukaryota, Metazoa, Chordata, Actinopteri, Cichliformes, Cichlidae. The record is from RefSeq and is a predicted model, not a curated record.
UGAUGGAUUAGAUAGCGGUUUUCAAGAAGCCCAAAGCACUUUACAUUAAAUCCAUUCUUGAUUCAUAGCACAUUUAAUACAGCAUAUUCUUCCUCAAAUUGUAAUAUAACAGGUACAUAUGUCCCAAGAUCUUCAUACUAGAAAUGUAUUAGGGCAAUUUUUGGAUGUAGUUUUUGUGAAGAAUAUGGGAUGUAGCUGUUAAAUCUACAUUCUGUUGAACUCAAUAAACCAUGAGCUUAAAAUGUAAAAGCCAACAACAACUUGAGAGACCUACGGCUAAUGAUAGACAUACUAUAUUAUUGAGUGAAUUCAUAUAAUCCCAAAAGUGUUAAAAUAAUAAUCUGUUGUCUGUUCUAUUUAUUCAUAGUUAAUUAUCAUAUGAAGAAAAAAGAUUUUAAAAGCAACUCCUCCCAAAACUAGGUGUUUUCCCCUGAAGUUUAGAGCACCAUUUCACAUCAAGGCGCCUGAUUUCAAACGGGCCAAUCAGCGCACUGCAUCAGGCUCCACCGCAGACAACGUCUGUACAGCUCCACACAAGUUUUGCUUUGGAUUACGGCAGCACGCUAUCUUCAUUUUCGUGGACUUGUUUCUCAUUUUUUUAAUUUAACGUCUGCCACAGCUCGUCUUCAGUUACUACGGUAAGAAAAUAAUCCAACUUGGUUUAUUUAUCGACAGCAUUGUGUUGCAGGCAGUGAAGGCGCAAAUGAUAAAUUUACGUUAGCUUUAGCUCAUUUCUAGCAGUAGCGUUAGCUACAUUAGGCUGAAAAGAGCCUUGCAAAACCAGCAGUGCGCGUUUUAAGACGUGUUUUGGAGACGGGUGUAUUAAUGGAAACCGUCUAAUUAGUAUAGCUAUAUUUGAAUGCUUUGUCUAAAUGCUGCCUGUUUUUUCCCGCCUUGUUUGACAUCCGGCUGAAGCUUUAAGUUAGCUAGCCUGGCAGCUGUGUCAUAUUGACUAUGUAUUUUUGCAGCAUAUGUGGAGAAUCGGUUCAGUCCGUGAAAGCUUAUGUUUUGCAUUGCAGACUGCAUCGUAAUGAACCCCGGUGUAUUUUUAAAUGUGUUGAAGUAAGUUGUAAGCAGGUGUUUUCUGGAUAUGCUGCUUUAAAGUCUCACUUCUACCGCCACCACACUGGUACCGCAACUGUUUCUCAGAAUGCUACCUUAAUGGGUUUGAACUGCACUGUCUCACUUUGUGAACGCCAAUGUGAGGGAACUAAAGCUUUGAUUGCUCACUUAAAGGAACACAUAGAAGAGGGACGGCAUGUAACUUGUCCAGUGAGAGGAUGCCAAAGUGUGUUCUCUGUAAAAUCUACAUUUACCUCCCAUAUGUCUAGAAAACACAAACGUUUGGAAAAUGUGAUUUGUGGUUUAAACAAAGAUACUCAGUCAGAGAGUCCAUCUACAAGUGCCACUAUACAGGAAGGUGCCAGUGUAUCAGAUACAGAAGACCCUGGUAUGGAUGGGUCUAAUUUCAGUGACCUGUAUCUCAGAAAUGUAUGUAUGUUUUACAUCAAACUACAGGGACAGCAUCUUCUGCCAGCAUCUACCAUUCAAACCAUUGUUGAAGAAAUACAAAAUAUACAUGAAUUGGGACACAUGUAUACAUUGAAUAGACUAAGCUCACUUCUAAAAGAUAUGUCAGUUUCAGAUGAAGACAUUAUAAAAAUCUGUGACACAGUAAAACAAUCUGACUUGUUCUCAGCUUGUCACACAGGGCCCAUGAGAACUGCUUAUUCAAGAGUUCAGUGCUUUAAAGAUGUGUUCAAGUAUGUUGAACCCAGAAAAGUGUUUUUGGGCAGGGACGAGAACAGGAUGGAGAGAUUUGCCUAUUAUGUUCCUCUGCUAAAUACUUUGAAGAGUAUGCUGGAAUCAAGUUUUUGGCAAGGUCUCAUAUCAGUGGAUCCUAAUAAUGUUUCAAGACCAGAUGUUCUCAGGGACUGUUGUGAUGGUAACGUGUUUGUGUCAAACAAAUUUUUUCAGGAAAAUCCACAUUGCCUGAAGCUGGUUCUAUACCAGGAUGCAUUUGAAGUAGUGAACCCACUUGGUUCUGCAAAAAAGAAGCACAAGGUUUUGGCUGUGUACUUCUCUCUACUCAACAUCCCCCCCCAUGCCCGGUCAAAUGCUGAUCAUAUGCAGCUAGUCUUACUGUGUAGGGAGAAGGAUUUCAAGGAAUUUGGCCAUGAAAAUGUUUUUUCAGAACUCCUGACUGAUUUGAAGGUACUAGAGGAGAAUGGGAUAACAGUGGCAGACAAACCUGUUGUGAAAGGAGUGCUCUACUGCAUUGCUGGAGACAACCUGGGCUCUCAUUGUAUUGGGGGUUUUACAGAAAAUUUCAGUUCAUCAGUGUACUUAUGCAGAUAUUGUCUGUUAACUCGAACUGAAUUUCAGGGUGCUGAUCCAGCAGUGUGUGGACCUCAGCGGACCCCAGAAACGUAUAGAUCUGCCACUGAACAGCUGGAAAGAGAAGACGUGUCAGAAGUUCAGGGGAUAAAGUUCAGGUCUGUAUUUAAUUCUUUACAAAGCUUUGAUGUUUGCACACCUGGCAUGCCCCCAUGUCUCGGUCAUGACAUCUUUGAGGGUGUCCUCUCAUACGAUCUUGCUCUUUACCUCAAGUACUUCAUCAACACAAAUAAAUGGUUCACUUACCCAAUUCUGAACAGGCGCAUCAAGCAAUUUAAAUACAAAGAAACAGAUGCUUCAUCCAAACCUUGUGAGGUCAGUCCAAAAACAUUGAAACUUGGUGGACAAGCUGUUCAAAAUUGGAACUUCUUGAGACUUUUACCUCUCAUAAUUGGAGACAGAGUGCAGAACUCUCAAGAUGAUGUGUGGCAGUUAACGUUGCAGCUUAAGGACAUUGUUGACCUAAUUUGUGCUCAGCAAAUUUCCAAGGCUCAGGUUACUUAUCUGGAUGCUCUCAUCCAAGAGUAUUUGGAAACCAGAAAGGUGCUGUUUCCUAAUAUCAACUUAAGACCUAAACACCAUUACUUACGACAUUAUCCAGGGCUGAUCCUAAAAUUUGGCCCUCUCAUCAGGCUGUGGACAAUGCGCUUUGAGAGCAAACACAGCUACUUCAAAAGAUGUGCAAGGCAUCUGAAAAAUUUCAAAAAUCUGUGCUUGACUCUUUCAGAGAGACAUCAGAUGUUUCAGGCCUUCCUUUCUGCUGGGUCAGUGAGUCCUCCAGCAUUGCAAAUAAAAGAUUGCUCACCAUUUUACUCAGAGCUUUACAGUGAGCAAGUUAAAGACGCAGUCCUACAUUUUGGCUUUACUGAAAGUAAUACAAAGAUUCCAGUUGCGGUUCAGUAUAAUGGCCUUACUUACAGGAAGGGUCAGUUUAUUGUCACUAAGUUUGAUCAGUCAAUGGAGUUUGGUGAACUUCUCCUCAUUCUUAUUAAAGAUGAGUCUGCUCUUCAUUUUCUCAUGAGAGUUUAUGAUGCAGAAUUUCUUUCUUGCUACCACAUGUACUCUGUAAAAAAUGACACUGGGAGAUUAGAGUGCAGACUCAUCAGUGAACUGAUUGACUUGUGGCCGUUAUCAUCUUACGUGAAAAACGGACACCAGAUUGUUCCACUGAAGCACAGCGUCUUGUCAGACUGAAUGCCUUGAUGUCAUUGGGCCAGAGCCAAACUGUUUGUAUGUGUGUCUUAACAGAUAUGGCUGAAUCGCAGGUGCUUAUCUUAAAGAACAUAGGGGAUGCAAUUGCAGGAGUGCUUCCGGACCUUCCUGAUCAACUUCUCAAGUCAGUAGAAGAUACUUUGAAAACACUUGGUGCAGAAACCACAGAUGAUUUAAAGUACAUUACAGAAAAUGGCCUGCUGCCAGUGCUCAAGCCCAUACAAGCCAGAAGACUAGUGGCUGCCUGGACCCAAAAUGGUAAGUGUAAAACAUUGUCACCACACCAAACGCACAGAGGGCUGUUGAAGUUGGAAAUAGUUAGAAUAUGAGUGUUCCUGAGUCUGAUGAUGUGACCAUCAUUAUUUAACCAUGCUUUCUGUGUAAAUAAAACUUGGAUGCUUUGUGGGGCAGUUUAAUACAUUUUGAGUUUCAAAAUGCAAUCUAUCAGACAAAUUGCAUUAUUAAGUUUUGACCACACUGUGUAACCUUAAUAUCUCAAAAUGUAUCUAUGCAGUGCAGAAUUUAACAUAACAGAAAAAAUGAUUUAAUGCUUUCAUAUCUCUUUUUUAUGUACUUUUAAAGUCUCUGGCAGCUCGACACCAAUUGCUGUACAUUCCUCUCCAGUGGAUGUCCUUCUUUCUCCACCCUCAAUUUCUUCUUCACCAACAUCAUCCACCACUACUUCAUCACCUUCAGGAAUCUGUACACCAUUACUACCAAACUGGGUAGAGAGAUUUGAGAUACCAUGGCAGAGGCUCCCUGAGGAGUUGGUACAGAACUUGGAAAGACAGAAAAGACCAAGCGCAAGACAAAGACGAGAAAUGGUAAGGAUUGUGGUCUCUGAAAUGAUGAAGAUUUGUAAGAAUCCAACCAAACACAAUACUACAGAGAUAGCAAAAAGGAUGGUGGCCAAGUAUCCCAAGUCUCUUCAAGAUGUGAUUGAUGGUGAUGUUAUUGGACCUGGAUAUCAUUCCCUGGUAAAGCAACUUCAGGCAAGAGUUGAAAAUGUCAAGCGACCUGACAUACCAAAGGUAAAAAAACGCAAAGCAAUAUCAGAUGACGGCAACGACACAGACGAAAUACCAGCUGAACAAAAAGCAAGGGUUCAAGACACAUAUGGCUGUAUUAGCUGGGAGCCAAAGCAUUUGCCACUCUCUGAGACUGUGGAGAGUCAACUUGAAAAAAAAGAAGAAAUGAAGAAGCUGUUUAAAAAGAAUAACUAUAGUACAGAUGUUGUGAAAGAACUAGUCACGUGCACCUAUUACACGCAGCGUAAAGACAUCAAUAAAGGGGCAAGCAUCCAGAAGCUAUGCCAGGAAUGGCCCUUUCUCUUCAAUGAAGUUGGUAUGACCGCACAUUUCCAAGAACUGACUGGUGUGAAUCUGAUGGAGACCUUCCUUGCCAAUGUAGACAAAAAGGGUGCACGUCUGUUAAAGUUCCUCAAAUAUGUUGAUGCACAAAAGCACAAGCAAGUCCUGAAUGCUGUUCUCAAACUUCAGACUGAAAGAGGUCAGUUCAGUGGUUGCUUGCAAGAAGUCAUUGAGAUGAUGCUUCUUUUACUGGCUCAUUUUGACGAGAAGGAAGAGCUUCUGUUCCACUGCGUUGAGAUGACAAGCCUUGCAGAAGAUGUUCAGAUGGAGAAAGUACCACCAACACCCUUCAUCAUUGUUUGCGGUUCCUCCUGCUUCGCUGCUGAGACAUUCAUGUUGAGCAUUGACAAGAAGAUUGUCAACGACCGCAUCGCAACCUUCACCUCUGCUAUCUGCCUAAUGUUUGGCAGUUACUACUGCUUUAACAUACACUACCCUGUGGAACUACGAUCAACACUGGAGUUCCUUCAACGGUGUUUCUUUUCCAUAAAUCCUGAGAGAGGCACCAAGGUUGAAUCCAAGAAGAAAAAAGUGUUCUCAGUCAAUCCCAGAGUCCUCACUCUCAUCUCAGACAUUGCUGACCAUGAGUGGAUCUAGUCCUACCCCUCUUGUUUGAGACAAAGUGAUAAAGGUAUACUAUGUUACAUACUCUACAGAUGUUCUGUUUUUGAAACAAUUGUUACAUUUCUGACUGUGAGUGGGAAGUUUUUAACAAUGUGAAGUUUUACUAGACACAAUUUGUAAAAGUACAUGUUCUACUUUUGAUUCACUGUUUUAUAUCUGAAAAAUGUAUAUGGUAAAAAUGUGGUAAACCUGCUAUUUUGUUUCUUGGAUUUUAAUUUUCCCAGUUUUAAAGAUAUUUGUAUUCCAAUAGUGUAAAAGUAUGCUGCAUGUACAUUGCUGGCAUUUUGUAGUUAUCCAAAAAUUUGCAGUUGAAGUUCUCAAAACAAGUGUAAAGUUUUUGUUUGUUACCUGAUGCAGUUUGAAGAUGUACAUUUCAGCUUUACUGCUCAGUUCUGUGUGCAAAAUAUGUGGGUUAAACUUGUUCCUGUAAUUUCUUCAAUUCAGAUUUUCUUUCAAUUAUAGAAAAAAUGUUUCAUUCUCUAUAUUUGUAUUUGGAUCAUUUGAAAAGUCAAGAUUCUAUGUGUACUGACAUUUAUGUAGUGAGAACAGCACCAAAAACACUUAAAGGUGUCUGAAUUGUCCGCUAAAGGUAAUGUGAAAUAUAAUGUGUGCUCAACUUACAGCACUGGUUUUGCACAAUUUGAACAGAACUUGUGAGAAUUCUGUGAUUCCAUACUGUUACUGUCAUGGAGAUAACUAGUAACUAUUUCUGAUUUGUUUAGUAAAAAUGUAAACGUUUGAUGUUCAAAACAUCAAAGAUGUUAAAUAAAAUACUUUUUUGGAAAUUUAA